This 1305-nucleotide ribosomal RNA is filed under the name 'Apium graveolens' white leaf phytoplasma. Its description in RNAcentral is "bacterial SSU rRNA". It matches the Rfam family "Bacterial small subunit ribosomal RNA", at positions 181 to 1478 of the family's 1533-position model. The record is from RNAcentral. Lineage: Bacteria; Bacillati; Mycoplasmatota; Mollicutes; Acholeplasmatales; Acholeplasmataceae.
CAAAAAGGCAUCUUUUUGUUUUUAAAAGACCUUCUUACGAAGGUAUGCUUAAAGAGGGGCUUGCGCCACAUUAGUUAGUUGGUAGAGUAAAAGCCUACCAAGACGAUGAUGUGUAGCUGGACUGAGAGGUUGAACAGCCACAUUGGGACUGAGACACGGCCCAAACUCCUACGGGAGGCAGCAGUAGGGAAUUUUCGGCAAUGGAGGAAACUCUGACCGAGCAACGCCGCGUGAACGAUGAAGUAUUUCGGUAUGUAAAGUUCUUUUAUUGAAGAAGAAAAAGUAGUGGAAAAACUAUAUUGACGUUAUUCAAUGAAUAAGCCCCGGCUAACUAUGUGCCAGCAGCCGCGGUAAGACAUAGGGGGCGAGCGUUAUCCGGAAUUAUUGGGCGUAAAGGGUGCGUAGGCUGUUAGAUAAGUCUAUAAUUUAAUUUCAGUGCUUAACGCUGUCUUGUUAUAGAAACUGUCUUGACUAGAGUGAGAUAGAGGCAAGCGGAAUUCCAUGUGUAGCGGUAAAAUGUGUAAAUAUAUGGAGGAACACCAGAAGCGUAGGCGGCUUGCUGGGUCUUUACUGACGCUGAGGCACGAAAGCGUGGGUAGCAAACAGGAUUAGAUACCCUGGUAGUCCACGCCGUAAACGAUGAGUACUAAGUGUCGGGGUAAAACUCGGUACUGAAGUUAACACAUUAAGUACUCCGCCUGAGUAGUACGUACGCAAGUAUGAAACUUAAAGGAAUUGACGGGACUCCGCACAAGCGGUGGAUCAUGUUGUUUAAUUCGAAGAUACACGAAAAAUCUUACCAGGUCUUGACAUACUCUGCAAAGCUAUAGAAAUAUAGUGGAGGUUAUCAGGGAUACAGGUGGUGCAUGGUUGUCGUCAGUUCGUGUCGUGAGAUGUUAGGUUAAGUCCUAAAACGAACGCAACCCUUGUCGUUAAUUGCCAGCACAUAAUGGUGGGGACUUUAACGAGACUGCCAAUUAAACAUUGGAGGAAGGUGAGGAUUACGUCAAAUCAUCAUGCCCCUUAUGAUCUGGGCUACAAACGUGAUACAAUGGCUGUGACAAAGAGUAGCUGAAACGCGAGUUUUUAGCCAAUCUCAAAAAAGCAGUCUCAGUUCGGAUUGAAGUCUGUAACUCGACUUCAUGAAGUUGGAAUCGCUAGUAAUCGCGAAUCAGCAUGUCGCGGUGAAUACGUUCUCGGGGUUUGUACACACCGCCCGUCAAACCACGAAAGUUAGCAAUGCCCGAAAGCAGUAGCUUAACUUCGCAAGAAGAGGGAACUGUCUAAGGUAGGGUUGAUGAUUGG